AUGGCUCAGGAUGAACGCUAGCGACAGGCUUAACACAUGCAAGUCGAGGGGCAGCAUAAAAGUAGCAAUACUUGGUGGCGACCGGCGCACGGGUGAGUAACGCGUAUGCAACCUACCUAUCGAGAGGGGAAUAACCCGGCGAAAGUCGGACUAAUACCGCAUAAAACAGGGACACCGCAUGGUGAUAUUUGUUAAAGAAAUUCGCUGAUAGAUGGGCAUGCGUUCCAUUAGGUAGUUGGUGAGGUAACGGCUCACCAAGCCGACGAUGGAUAGGGGAACUGAGAGGUUGGUCCCCCACACUGGUACUGAGACACGGACCAGACUCCUACGGGAGGCAGCAGUGAGGAAUAUUGGUCAAUGGGCGAGAGCCUGAACCAGCCAAGUCGCGUGAAGGAAAGAAGGAUCUAUGGUUCGUAAACUUCUUUUGCAGGGGAAUAAAGUGCAGGACGUGUCCUGUUUUGUAUGUACCCUGAGAAUAAGGAUCGGCUAACUCCGUGCCAGCAGCUGC
This 508-nucleotide ribosomal RNA is filed under the name uncultured bacterium. RNAcentral describes it as "bacterial SSU rRNA". It matches the Rfam family "Bacterial small subunit ribosomal RNA", at positions 19 to 518 of the family's 1533-position model. The record is from RNAcentral.